GACCACGCCUACUUGUCCCACUUCUAAUUUGGACCGGGUGAAACGUACUUUAGUUCCUAGUUCCCGGCUGUUAGCCAUCAGGCUCGUUCGGUGAAAUAAAAUUUGACAUUUAAAAACAGUUUUUUUAAAGUUAACAACGCGUACAAAAUUUGGAUUUAGAACCAUGGCAGCAAACACGGCCACUUCUCUGGUGCUGUCCAGCCUGCUGUCGGUGUUGGUGUUUGCAGGCAUGCAGAUGUUCAGUAAACAGCUGGCCUCCUCAGAGUGGUUUACCAUCCUGGGAGGCUUCCUGGGCUCCAUACUCUUCAUCUGCUCCCUCACUGCGUUUAAUAACCUGGAAAAUGUGUUUUUUGGGAAGGGAUUCCAAGCCAAGAUUUUCCCAGAAAUUCUGCUGUGCCUGUGCUUGUCCUUGUUUGCAUCUGGUCUUGUCCACCGAGUGUGUGUCACCACCUGCCUCAUCUUCUCCCUCUUCGCCCUCUACUACAUCAACAAGAUAUCGGCCGCCCUCUACCAAGCAGCUGCGCCUUCCGCAGCACCGGCCAAGGUGGCCACCAAGGGGAAGAGGAAGAACUAACGGAUGGAAAAACACACACCACACAAUACACACGAGACAAAAGCUUUCAUUGGCUGAUAGCCAGGUGUGAGCUGGAGCCUAUCCCAGCUGACUUGUGGGGAGGGAAGGUGGAUUACUACAGCAUUGGCCAGUCGCCUGUGGAGCUAUGUGAACCACUACAUCACCCAGGCCGAAAAACAAGGAGGAGUUGGGUGUGGAAGUCUGGAAGAACCCCAUCAAAUACC
RNA transcript from Entelurus aequoreus (snake pipefish), 798 nucleotides. It is a transcript of the gene named keratinocyte associated protein 2, with no coding region annotated. The record is from RefSeq and is a predicted model, not a curated record. The transcript has 6 exons. Lineage: Eukaryota; Metazoa; Chordata; Actinopteri; Syngnathiformes; Syngnathidae.